UACGUAGGGUGCGAGCGUUGUCCGGAAUUAUUGGGCGUAAAGAGCUCGUAGGCGGUGUGUCACGUCGGCCGUGAAAACCUGCAGCUUAACUGUGGGCGUGCGGUCGAUACGGGCAUCACUGGAGUUCGGCAGGGGAGACUGGAAUUCCUGGUGUAGCGGUGAAAUGCGCAGAUAUCAGGAGGAACACCGGUGGCGAAGGCGGGUCUUUGGGCCGAUACUGACGCUGAGGAGCGAAAGCGUGGGGAGCAAACAGG
Molecule: ribosomal RNA, 254 nt
Filed under: uncultured bacterium
Lineage: Bacteria
Description: partial 16S ribosomal RNA
Rfam family: Bacterial small subunit ribosomal RNA
Source: RNAcentral